GACGAACGCUGGCGGCGCGCCUAACACAUGCAAGUCGAACGAGAGAUGAAGAGCUUGCUCUUCAGAUCGAGUGGCGAACGGGUGAGUAACGCGUGAGGAACCUGCCUCAAAGAGGGGGACAACAGUUGGAAACGACUGCUAAUACCGCAUAAGCCCACGGCUCGGCAUCGAGCAGAGGGCAAAGGAGCAAUCCGCUUUGAGAUGGCCUCGCGUCCGAUUAGCUAGUUGGUGAGGUAACGGCCAACCAAGGCGACGAUCGGUAGCCGGACUGAGAGGUUGAACGGCCACAUUGGGACUGAGACACGGCCCAGACUCCUACGGGAGGCAGCAGUGGGGAAUAUUGCACAAUGGGGGAAACCCUGAUGCAGCGACGCCGCGUGGAGGAAGAAGGUCUUCGGAUUGUAAACUCCUGUUGUUGAGGAAGAUAAUGACGGUACUCAACAAGGAAGUGACGGCUAACUACGUGCCAGCAGCCGCCGUAA
This 482-nucleotide ribosomal RNA is filed under the name uncultured bacterium. RNAcentral's name for it is "partial 16S ribosomal RNA". It matches the Rfam family "Bacterial small subunit ribosomal RNA", at positions 28 to 523 of the family's 1533-position model. The record is from RNAcentral.